Molecule: ribosomal RNA, 497 nt
Filed under: uncultured bacterium
Lineage: Bacteria
Description: partial 16S ribosomal RNA
Rfam family: Bacterial small subunit ribosomal RNA
Source: RNAcentral
GAUGAACGCUGGCGGCGUGCCUAACACAUGCAAGUCGAGCGAACAGACGAGGAGCAUUCUCCCCUGACGUUAGCGGCGGACGGGAGAGUAACACGUGGAUAACCUAACUAUAAGACUGGGAUAACAUCGGGAUACCGGAGCUAAUACCGGAUAAUACAUCGAACUGGAUGGUUCAAUAGUGAAAGUCGCUUUUGCUGUCACUAACAGCCGGAUCCGCGUUGCAUUAUUUAGUUGGGAAGGUAACGGCUUAGCAAGGCUACGAUGCGUAGCCGACCUGAGAGGUUGGUCCGCCACACGGGAACUGAGACUCGGUCCAGACUCCUACGGGGAGCAGCAGUAGGGAAUCUUCCGCAAUGGGCGAAAGCCUGACGGAGCAACACCGCGUGAGUGAUGAAGGUCUUCGGAUCGUAAAGCUCUGUUGUUAGGGAAGAACAAAAGUGUAAGUAAACGUGCACGUCUUGACGGUACCUAAAGAAAAAGCCACGGCUAACUACGUG